UGUUAAAAAAUUUAUUCAUUUAUACUAUUAAAAAUUGAAAUAGAAGACAAAAUAACUUGAUAGUUAUAUGGUGUGCUGCGUUACCUCAUGUUGAUGUAUAAGGAUCAAUUUUAAACAGUAAAAAUAGAUGAAAAUUUCACAA
RNAcentral lists this microRNA precursor (142 nucleotides) under Gossypium arboreum. RNAcentral describes it as "MIR7502 microRNA precursor family". It matches the Rfam family "MIR7502 microRNA precursor family". The record is from Rfam by way of RNAcentral. Lineage: Eukaryota; Viridiplantae; Streptophyta; Magnoliopsida; Malvales; Malvaceae.